GUGCAGCAGUCGAGAAACCUCCGCAAUACACGAAAGUGUGACGGGGCCAUCCCGAGUGCCGUCCGCUGAGGACGGCUUUUCCCCAGUGUACACAGCUGGGGGAAUAAGGAGAGGGCAAGCCUGGUGUCAGCCGCCGCGGUAAUACCAGCUCUCCGAGUGGUGGGGACGCUUAUUGGGCCUAAAGCAUCCGUAGCCGGCUGGGCAAGUCCUCCGUUAAAUCCAACGAUUCAAUCGUUGGGCUGCGGGGGAUACUGUCCAGCUUGGGGGCGGGAGAGGCCGACGGUAUUCCCCGGGGUAGGGGUGAAAUCCUAUAAUCCCGGGAGGACCACCAGUGGCGAAGGCUGUCGGCUAGAACGCGCCCGACGGUGAGGGGAUGAAAGCUGGGGGGAGCGAACC
Molecule: ribosomal RNA, 396 nt
Filed under: uncultured microorganism
Description: bacterial SSU rRNA
Rfam family: Archaeal small subunit ribosomal RNA
Source: RNAcentral